Molecule: non-coding RNA, 430 nt
Organism: Macaca mulatta (Rhesus monkey)
Lineage: Eukaryota; Metazoa; Chordata; Mammalia; Primates; Cercopithecidae
Source: RefSeq, a predicted model, not a curated record
GGAGGGGCCCCGGGGAGGGGACGGGCGGAGGUGACCCAGGCGGCGCCCAGGGGAGCACGGGACGCCCCCCCUUCCCUUCUCAGGAAACUGUGAGUGCCCCCGGCCCACAGGGCCGUCGCCAGGACGCCCAGGACGGCGCCAACUAGAGCAAAGUGCAACCCCCGGGAAAGGUCUGAACCCAACUUAGAGACCUCCUGUGAGGUUCUUGUGGACAACCAAGACCCUUAAGAGAUGUCUGAGCGUUACACACCAUGUCUGCUGCACAGACGAUCAAAUGAAGUUUUUGAGUUGUGGUGGCUGGGAAGUCCAAGGUGGAGCAGCUGAAUCUGAUGAGGGCUUCAUUCUGGUUCAUAGCUUGGAGAGAAAGUGGACAAGGAGAGAAGGGUCUUGCUCUGUCACCCAGGCUGGAAUGCAAUGGUGUGAUCUCGGC